This 74-nucleotide transfer RNA is filed under the name Actinomycetes bacterium. RNAcentral describes it as "tRNA-Ser". It matches the Rfam family "tRNA". From Rfam's summary of the family: Transfer RNA (tRNA) molecules are approximately 80 nucleotides in length. Their secondary structure includes four short double-helical elements and three loops (D, anti-codon, and T loops). RNAcentral also lists the same sequence under 2 other names. Lineage: Bacteria; Bacillati; Actinomycetota; Actinomycetes. The record is from RNAcentral.
GCCCCUGUAGCUCACCGGAUAGAGCAGAGCGUGCGACGACGCUACGGCAGCGGGUUCGAUUCCCGCCAGGGGUU